RNAcentral lists this ribosomal RNA (460 nucleotides) under uncultured bacterium. RNAcentral describes it as "partial 16S ribosomal RNA". It matches the Rfam family "Bacterial small subunit ribosomal RNA", at positions 338 to 795 of the family's 1533-position model. The record is from RNAcentral.
CCUACGGGAGGCAGCAGUGAGGAAUAUUGGUCAAUGGACGAGAGUCUGAACCAGCCAAGUAGCGUGAAGGAUGACUGCCCUAUGGGUUGGAAACUUCUUUUAUAUGGGAAUAAAAUGUUUCACGUGAGGGAUUUUGUAUGUACCAUAUGAAUAAGGAUCGGCUAACUCCGUGCCAGCAGCCGCGGUAAUACGGAGGAUCCGAGCGUUAUCCGGAUUUAUUGGGUUUAAAGGGAGCGUAGGUGGAUUGUUAAGUCAGUUGUGAAAGUUUGCGGCUCAACCGUAAAAUUGCAGUUGAAACUGGCAGUCUUGAGUACAGUAGAGGUGGGCGGAAUUCGUGGUGUAGCAGUGAAAUGCUUAGAUAUCACGAAGAACUCCGAUUGCGAAGGCAGCUCACUGGACUGCAACUGACACUGAGGCUCGAAAGUGUGGGUAUCAAACAGGAUUAGAUACCCCAGUAGUC